RNAcentral lists this ribosomal RNA (253 nucleotides) under uncultured bacterium. RNAcentral describes it as "partial 16S ribosomal RNA". It matches the Rfam family "Bacterial small subunit ribosomal RNA", at positions 524 to 776 of the family's 1533-position model. The record is from RNAcentral.
CACGUAGGGUGCGAGCGUUGUCCGGAAUUAUUGGGCGUAAAGAGCUCGUAGGCGGUUUGUCGCGUCUGCUGUGAAAACUCGGGGCUUAACCCCGGGCCUGCAGUGGGUACGGGCAGACUAGAGUGCGGUAGGGGAGACUGGAAUUCCUGGUGUAGCGGUGAAAUGCGCAGAUAUCAGGAGGAACACCGGUGGCGAAGGCGGGUCUCUGGGCCGAUACUGACGCUGAGGAGCGAAAGCGUGGGGAGCGAACAGG